RNAcentral lists this ribosomal RNA (401 nucleotides) under Abudefduf septemfasciatus (banded sergeant). Its description in RNAcentral is "partial 12S rRNA". It matches the Rfam family "Bacterial small subunit ribosomal RNA", at positions 335 to 941 of the family's 1533-position model. Lineage: Eukaryota; Metazoa; Chordata; Actinopteri; Pomacentridae. The record is from RNAcentral.
CCCUCAAGGGACUUCAGCAGUGAUAAACAUUAAGCUAUAAGUGAAAACUUGACUUAGUUAAAGCUAAAAGAGCCGGUAAAACUCGUGCCAGCCACCGCGGUUAUACGAGAGGCUCAAGUUGACAGACAACGGCGUAAAGAGUGGUUAAGGAAUCCAUUAAACUAAAGCCGAACGCCCUCAGAACUGUUAUACGUUUCCGAAGGUAAGAAGCCCCACCACGAAAGUGACUUUACUCCCCCUGACCCCACGAAAGCUGCGAAACAAACUGGGAUUAGAUACCCCAUUAUGCCCAGCCCUAAACUUUGAUAGCCCAUUACACCCACUAUCCGCCAGGGUACUACGAGCAUUAGCUUAAAACCCAAAGGACUUGGCGGUGCUUUACAUCCACCUAGAGGAGCCUG